CCGCCCUGGGGGAGUACGGCCGCAAGGUCAAAACUCAAAUGAAUUGACGGGGGCCCGCACAAGCGGUGGAGCAUGUGGUUUAAUUCGAUGCAACGCGAAGAACCUUACCUACUCUUGACAUCCAGAGAACUUUCCAGAGAUGGAUUGGUGCCUUCGGGAACUCUGAGACAGGUGCUGCAUGGCUGUCGUCAGCUCGUGUUGUGAAAUGUUGGGUUAAGUCCCGCAACGAGCGCAACCCUUAUCCUUUGUUGCCAGCGGUCCGGCCGGGAACUCAAAGGAGACUGCCAGUGAUAAACUGGAGGAAGGUGGGGAUGACGUCAAGUCAUCAUGGCCCUUACGAGUAGGGCUACACACGUGCUACAAUGGCGCAUACAAAGAGAAGCGAACUCGCGAGAGCAAGCGGGCCCCAUAAAGUGCGUCGUAGUCCGGAUUGGAGUCUGCAACUCGACUCCACGAAGUCGGAAUCGCUAGUAAUCGUAGAUCAGAAUGCUACGGUGAAUACGUUCCCGGGCCUUGUACACACCGCCCGUCACACCAUGGGAGUGGGUUGCAAAAGAAGUAGGUAGCUUAACCUUCGGGAGGGCGCUUACCACUUUGUGAUUCAUGACUGGGGUGAAGUCGUAAC
RNAcentral lists this ribosomal RNA (625 nucleotides) under uncultured Enterobacter sp. RNAcentral's name for it is "bacterial SSU rRNA". It matches the Rfam family "Bacterial small subunit ribosomal RNA", at positions 875 to 1492 of the family's 1533-position model. The record is from RNAcentral. Lineage: Bacteria; Pseudomonadati; Pseudomonadota; Gammaproteobacteria; Enterobacterales; Enterobacteriaceae.